This is a long non-coding RNA of Mauremys reevesii (Reeves's turtle), 217 nucleotides long. RefSeq lists it as uncharacterized. The transcript has 3 exons. NCBI's taxonomy places the organism in Eukaryota, Metazoa, Chordata, Testudines, Geoemydidae. The record is from RefSeq and is a predicted model, not a curated record.
UCAGAAUCUGGGAUGAAGACUGAUGCUGACAACUUCGUUUUGCUUACUUACUUCUGCCUUGCAUGUGGGAGAACGCUCAGCUUAUAGUACUCUUCAUAGUCUGGCACUUGCUCUUGACACCUUACUGGCAAUUCUGCACUGUCCUAGAACACACACGCUGCUACCAGAAAGAGAGGGAGAGGAAGAUUUCCUUAUGCUCACAAGAAACUUUAAAUAA